GUUGAUAGCUCAGUUGGUUAGAGUGUGGUUCUGAUAAUGCCAAGGUUGCAGGUUCAGUUCCCAUAUGGGACA
Molecule: non-coding RNA, 72 nt
Organism: Podarcis lilfordi (Lilford's wall lizard)
Lineage: Eukaryota; Metazoa; Chordata; Lepidosauria; Squamata; Lacertidae
Source: the annotation of a GenBank genome assembly